CAAGUAGGGGGUAGGUCAUCAAAUUGUCGAGAUCAGCAGACGUAUUCCAUGUGAAUGUGACAUCUCUAUUCCAUCGAGACGUUGUCCGAGAAAGUUAUCUCAGCGAUUGGCUCAUGGCGGGACAAUUUUUUGUCUGAUUUUUAUCGUCAAUGCCUGGGUGAAGUCUGAGCUUCUUCAUUGCAUUACGUGCACGUGAUUGCUGACUUGUCAUGAAGAGCAGAAGAGGGUCUCCACUAUUUUGCAAGAAAAUCGAGAUGAAAAGAGGAAAUUUGAAAAGGGUUUCUUGUUCAGUUUGAACUGUUAAUAGUGUUUGGUGUGCAGUGGUUUUGCAGUCAUUCAGUCGAGAUGCCCUGAGAUGGAUGAUCAACUGCUGAGAAUCCCUCACAUCAUCAUCUCUAUGGAGACGCUGUCCGAAAAGGUUUACCUUGGCCAUUAAAGUCAUGAGGUCUGCUGUACACUUCCCCCAAAAUGUCGUCUCUUGGUUCAUGUUGCACGUUUCAUCACAGAAGUACUUCAGAAUAGUAAAAGCAAUAAUGUUGAUUAACUUUGAAAUCUGAAGACUUGAACAACAUUGUAAUGGAAAUAGGAAAUCAGAAAUAGCAAUAAUGUUUCCAUGGUCAGCUUGAUGUUUGAACAGUUUUGUUAUGGCUGUUUGGUGUGCAGUGAUUCUCCAGGAGAGAUGUGUCAAAAAGUAGUCAUGUUGGUAGAGUUUUUUCCAGGGACAAAGAGCCCUAUGUUGGCCAACAACAUUUUAAAUUAACUAGACUGCAACAAAGAAAGUUCAGUGACAUGAAAAAUAAACUUACACACAAAACCACCAAUCAGUUAU
Molecule: long non-coding RNA, 829 nt
Filed under: Daphnia pulicaria
Lineage: Eukaryota; Metazoa; Arthropoda; Branchiopoda; Diplostraca; Daphniidae
Description: uncharacterized LOC124343834, transcript variant X2
Source: RNAcentral